Molecule: ribosomal RNA, 484 nt
Filed under: uncultured bacterium
Lineage: Bacteria
Description: partial 16S ribosomal RNA
Rfam family: Bacterial small subunit ribosomal RNA
Source: RNAcentral
GUUGAACGCUGGCGGCAGGCCUAACACAUGCAAGUCGAGCGGAUGAAGGGAGCUUGCUCCUGGAUUCAGCGGCGGACGGGUGAGUAAUGCCUAGGAAUCUGCCUGGUAGUGGGGGAUAACGUCCGGAAACGGGCGCUAAUACCGCAUACGUCCUGAGGGAGAAAGUGGGGGAUCUUCGGACCUCACGCUAUCAGAUGAGCCUAGGUCGGAUUAGCCAGUUGGUGGGGUAAAGGCAUACCAAGGCGACGAUCCGUAACUGGUCUGAGAGGAUGAUCAGUCACACUGGAACUGAGACACGGUCCAGACUCCUACGGGAGGCAGCAGUGGGGAAUAUUGGACAAUGGGCGAAAGCCUGAUCCAGCCAUGCCGCGUGUGUGAAGAAGGUCUUCGGAUUGUAAAGCACUUUAAGUUGGGAGGAAGGGCAGUAAGUUAAUACCUUGCUGUUUUGACGUUACCAGCAGAAUAAGCACCGGCUAACUUUGUG